UACGGGGGGAGCAAGCGUUGUUCGGAUUUACUGGGCGUAAAGGGCGCGUAGGCGGCGCAACAAGUCACUUGUGAAAUCUCCGGGCUUAACCCGGAGCGGCCAAGUGAUACUGUUGUGCUAGAGUGCGGAAGGGGCUACUGGAAUUCUCGGUGUAGCGGUGAAAUGCGUAGAUAUCGAGAGGAACACCUGCGGCGAAGGCGGGUAGCUGGGCCGACACUGACGCUGAGGCGCGAAAGCCAGGGGAGCGAACGGG
RNAcentral lists this ribosomal RNA (253 nucleotides) under uncultured bacterium. RNAcentral's name for it is "partial 16S ribosomal RNA". It matches the Rfam family "Bacterial small subunit ribosomal RNA", at positions 524 to 776 of the family's 1533-position model. The record is from RNAcentral.